Molecule: long non-coding RNA, 3318 nt
Organism: Magnolia sinica
Lineage: Eukaryota; Viridiplantae; Streptophyta; Magnoliopsida; Magnoliales; Magnoliaceae
Exons: 3
Source: RefSeq, a predicted model, not a curated record
CAAUAUCUUAUUCAUAUAAUUUAUAAAUGUAAGAAGACAAGUGGAAACACAAUCAAUACAUUCAAAGCAAAUGAAGAAUCACUAGAUUAGGUUACAAACAUUUUUAAUGUGAUGUUUGAACACAGAUUGCAAAUGAUUUGCGAGAAAUUUUUAAUUUUUGAUUUUUUUUUUUCAAAUUUUCACAACUCGGUCCUUCUCCUUCAAAUCUCAAAAUCGAAGCUCACAAUCCAUGAUUUUUCAUGCAGAACAUGAAAAAUCAUGAAUUUGUAACAAUUUGAGACUAAUUUAACAUGAAUUACAGAAAAUAAGAGCAUCGAAAUUUGAAAAUACUCACUAGAUCGAACAUGUGGGAUAUAUUGCAUUACUUGUGUGUUUCGUAUCGCACUAGUGGGAUACAAGAUAUAUCGUGGGAUAUAUCGGCCGAUAUCAUUGAUAUUUAAAACAAUGCUUGAUUCCGCCCCUCAAAAGUCCAUUUGGGGUGUGCUUCUGGUCGCCAUUGGUCAGAUUGUGAUGGGAUUGGCCUGUAGAUGAAGUUCUUGAGGGUGCUUUCCCACCAGACCGUGUUCUCUGAUUAAUUUGAUUUUUUUAGGUGUGAUGAAGUGGGGCUUGCCUUCCAUCAUCUACUUAAUCAGAUAAACCAAUUUCUACCUCCGUGGAAUUCCUAUAACCUACUUUGUUACUUUUAACAUGGGAUGAUGGGGUCUGUUGGGCCCCACAUCACAUCUCCAUCUGACCUUGAUCAAAUGGUGAUGAGAUCCUUGCAUAUAGGUAUUGUAUGGACUAUGGAUUGGAUUAUCAGGUCUUUGAUCCGGAUCAUUGAUUUGAAUAGCUCUGUUGUAAUUGGGAAUGCCUCAGAAGUAUUUGAGGUCAGAAGUUGCUAGGGUACAAUCUAGACUGUUUCCUGUUUGUCACAUUGUUUUCAGAAUGAUCUAUUUGUAGGUCAUUGAUGAAGGUCUAGAUUUUACCAAGGAGGGGGUUGGCUGUGUUGUCUGUAAGUUGGAAUUGGAGAAAGCAUGCGAUCAUGUCAGCUGGAACUUCUUGGAAUAUAUGCUGCAGUGAGUAGACGUGGGUAAAGUGGAGGGAUUGGAUGAAAGAGUGGGUCAGCUCAGCUAGAUUCUUCUUGGUGAAUGGCUCCUUAGAAGAUUUAUUUUAAAGCCCACUAGGGAUAUUAGGUAAGGAGAUCCUUUUUCCUCCUAUUUGUUCGCAGUAGUGGUGGAGGUGUUUGGCACGAUGUUAGCAAGAAGGCAAGAAGCGGGUCUAUUCAAGGGUUCAAGGUGAAUGGGGAGACUCCUCAUAUUUCUCAUUUGCAAUUCACGGAUGGCACUCUUUUUUGCAAAGCCGAUGAGGGCACGGUGAAAAGGUUGAGAACAAUUAUCUUAUGCUUUGAAGCUAUUUUUGGGGCAUAAAGUUAACACCAUGAAGAGCAAGAUUCUAGGUGUGUGUCUUUUGAAGUGGUGGAUUGGCUGGUUAAGGUGUUUGGAAGCAAAGUGGGAACCUUUCUGUCCACCUAUCUUGUCUUCAACUUUGCGUUGGAGCGGUUUGAAAGUGUCUAAAAUCCAUCUUGAAUAAAUUAGAGAAGCUGAAAAGAGGCUUCCUGUGGCUAGGGUUGGAAGAUAGAAAUUUCACUUUUUGAGGUGGAGUGAAGUUUGCAAGCCUACUGAGGAAGGAGGUGCAGGUGUAAGAAUGUUUGAGAGGAUGGAUCUAGGACUUUUGGGGAGACGUUUCUGGAGGUUUGAAGAGGAAGAUAACUUGCUUGAACCAAUGGACCGGUCACUUCUGGAAAAAUGGUUAUGAGGUUCAGCAAGGAAGAUAACUCAUGGUUGAGAGGUCAUUGCCAGAGAUAUAGCUGCUAUGGAGGAUGGCAGGUAAAGGACUCCAUAUCCAGAGCUUCCCACUAUAUGGUAAGAAAUUUCACCAUUGAAGAAAGAAAUUAGAAAAGGGAUCUUGUUGAAGAAACAGGGCGAGGAUAUGAAUCUAGAAAGAUGUGUGGGUCGAGGACUACUCUUCAAGAUGAGUUUCCAACAUUAGCGUGCCUUUUAUGUUGAGAAUAAUAUUAUGGAUUUAUAAUAUCUGUAAAAUGUUUAAACCGAAAAUAUCAAGACAUGCUGAAGCAUGUAUGAUUACGUUGUCCUUAAAGUGUUAUUUGCGCCUUCUCAAUUAGAUUGAGAAUGUUGAUAGGUUCCAGGCAAACAACUUCUAGGAUAUGAUGAGCCUAGGUGUGGAUCUGUGUUCAGCAAAUACGAAGAGCCAUAAAUGGAAAUCUGUACACAAAUUGUUGGCAAAUAAAUAAAAAGAAAAAGAUUCCAAAAUAAAAAAGAGAAUAGAAAAUUUUUAGACCACUGCACUAGUUUGUUUCUUAAGCUCGCUUGGCCAAGGUUCGUAUUAACCUUGCUGAUUGGUUUGAGUACAUUGUUGCUCCUUUUUCUCUGGUUCGUAUGUGAGUGUGAUUCGAGUGUUGGUGAUGGAUUGUUGAACCAUCCAGGCACCGUUUAUUUAGGCUAGGGUGGCUAAUUGUUGUGGUCCAGGGCCAUUAACUAAUGUGAUUGUUUUCUAGCUGUUGGUGAGAAAGUGGAAUAAUAACUGGUUGUAUGCUGGCCGUUUAGACUCAUUGGCUAACUGUUUAUAGUUGUUGGGCUAGCCACAUGCAUUAGUUUCUGCAUGGUUAGAAUUUAUGUGCAUGAAGAGUUACACCUUACUCAAACGGCUAGUUUUUCCAGCCUCUAUAAAAGCCAUAAAGGUCUCGUUCAGACCACUAGCACUCAUCCCAACCACCUGACCCAUUUUUCUAUCGUACCGGUUUGCAUAAGGUUGUGAAGGAGUGACUCAUCUGCGUACGUGCGAAGUACAAACUGCACCUCUACAGCCACACUGCCUCACAUGCCCAUGCACCAAGACCAUGCCCAAGCCCGCACAGGGAUGAAUAUCUUGGUGUUUGAGUGCUUCUACGAGGGGAACAACAUGGAAUGGUCUCCUCCAUAUGUCGUAUUAUUGGAUAAGCUUCUCUUGGACAUUCCGGUAAGAGAAGAUUAGGACAAGCCUGUUUAAGGACAAAUUAGGUUGUUUCUAGUGUGGUCUCUCUAUGGGUGGCUGAGUAGUCCGAACAAGAGUGAGGAUGGCUAUCAUACAUCUUACCCUUCGAAGGUGGUAGCUUUUGGUUGGCUAGUUAGAAAGAAUAGAGCCCUCACUAUUUACGAUCUCCAAAAAAAAAUCUAUAGUUCUUGAUAGUACAUGUGUGAUGUGCAUGGAGAAUGUGGAAUUAGUCCGUAUUUUUCAUUUUCAUUGUAAAUAUGCUUCGAAGCUACGGAGUAAGUUUAUUAA